Molecule: transfer RNA, 76 nt
Filed under: Tolumonas osonensis
Lineage: Bacteria; Pseudomonadati; Pseudomonadota; Gammaproteobacteria; Aeromonadales; Aeromonadaceae
Description: tRNA-Thr
Rfam family: tRNA
About the family: Transfer RNA (tRNA) molecules are approximately 80 nucleotides in length. Their secondary structure includes four short double-helical elements and three loops (D, anti-codon, and T loops).
Source: RNAcentral
GCCGGUAUAGCUCAGUUGGUAGAGCAGCGCACCCGUAAUGCGAAGGUCGUAGGUUCGAUUCCUAUUGCCGGCACCA